RNAcentral lists this small RNA (79 nucleotides) under Kaistella antarctica. Its description in RNAcentral is "Chryseobacterium antarcticum Flavo-1 RNA". It matches the Rfam family "Flavo-1 RNA". Lineage: Bacteria; Pseudomonadati; Bacteroidota; Flavobacteriia; Flavobacteriales; Weeksellaceae. The record is from RNAcentral.
UUGUAGCCGCGAUUGGAGCGGUAUCCUUUUACGAUCGCGAUAGCGAUUGCAAAAGAUAUAGUGGAAAGCGGGACCGCUU